AUAAACCACGAUAUCGAAAAUAGGUGUAGAAAUGAUGAUAUUU
Molecule: non-coding RNA, 43 nt
Filed under: Trypanosoma brucei brucei
Lineage: Eukaryota; Euglenozoa; Kinetoplastea; Trypanosomatida; Trypanosomatidae
Source: RNAcentral